RNAcentral lists this transfer RNA (72 nucleotides) under Limulus polyphemus (Atlantic horseshoe crab). Its description in RNAcentral is "tRNA-Thr". It matches the Rfam family "tRNA". From Rfam's summary of the family: Transfer RNA (tRNA) molecules are approximately 80 nucleotides in length. Their secondary structure includes four short double-helical elements and three loops (D, anti-codon, and T loops). Lineage: Eukaryota; Metazoa; Arthropoda; Merostomata; Xiphosura; Limulidae. The record is from RNAcentral.
GCCAUCAUAGCUCAGUGGCAGAGUACUGGUCUUGUAAACCAGGGGUAGUGAGUUCGAUCCUCACUGGUGUAA